RNAcentral lists this transfer RNA (62 nucleotides) under Haematoloechus sp. CW13H. Its description in RNAcentral is "tRNA-Ser". The record is from RNAcentral. Lineage: Eukaryota; Metazoa; Platyhelminthes; Trematoda; Plagiorchiida; Haematoloechidae.
GGGGAUUUGUUAAGUUGCCGCUGCUAACGGUAAUUGGAACAUUAGAUUGUGUUCGGUCCUCU